This 1881-nucleotide ribosomal RNA is filed under the name Triticum aestivum (bread wheat). Its description in RNAcentral is "partial small subunit ribosomal RNA". The record is from RNAcentral. Lineage: Eukaryota; Viridiplantae; Streptophyta; Magnoliopsida; Poales; Poaceae.
AUGUGGGUGAUGAUUCUCGGCAGCAAGGGAGAAGCGGCGGACGCCAUCAGGCGCGCGCAGGCUGGUGUGGAGGCGGAGAGCGGCCGCAAAUUGCGCGUGUUGCGCACUGACAACGGCGGCGAAUUCACGGCGGCUGAAUUCGCGUCGUACUACGCCGAUGAGGGCAUCCAGCGCCACUACUCCGCGCCGUACAGCCCGCAGGAAAACGGAGUCGUCGAGCGGCGCAACCAGACGGUUGUGGGGAUGGCUCGGGCUCUCCUCAAGCAGCGAGGGAUGCCGGCUGUUUUCUGGGGAGAGGCGGUGCUGACGGCUGUCUACAUCCUCAACCGCUCGCCUACUAAGGCACUCGACGGCAGGACACCGUAUGAGGCCCGGCAUGGGCGGAAGCCGGCGGUUUCCCAUUUGCGGGUCUUUGGCUGUCUUGCGUUCGCUAAGGAGCUUGGCCACAUCGGCAAGCUCGACGACAGGAGCACUCCGGGAGUCUUCAUCGGCUAUGCGGAGGGCUCAAAGGCCUACCGCAUCCUCGACCCAAAGACACAGCGUGUGCGCACGGCGCGAGACGUUGUGUUCAAUGAAGGGCGAGGGUGGCAAUGGGACAAGGCGGUGGACGACGGCGCAACGCCGAUGUAUGACGACUUCAUUGUCGAGUACGCUCACUUCAAGGAAGCCGGGGGAGCAAGCAGCUCCUCUCCGCCGAGCACGUCUACCCCGGCCCCCAAAACUACAUCGACUCCGGUGCCCGCUACGCCGGCGACACCACAACUGGCGACGCCGCAUACUCCAGCCCCGGCGGUCACCACUCCGGGUUCGUCCUCAUCAGCACCAGCUCACGCAGAGCACAACCCGAUGAAGUUCGCUUCCCCGCUCACUCACUACGAGGAGCGGGUCGACGCGUGGUAUGGAGGCGAACAGCUGCGCUAUCGCACGAUGGAUGAUCUACUCGGCGACCAGCCGGUGCCGGGACUGAUGCCACGUGACCUGGAGGUGCAGCUACAACUCGCGUGUGAGGACGCCAAACCACGGUCCUUUGCAGAGGCCGAGAGAGAUGCGGCAUGGCGCGCCGCGAUGCAGUUGGAGAUGGAUGCGGUCAAGCAAAACCGCACCUGGGAGCUCGCUGACCUCCCCCGUGGUCAUCGCGCAAUCACCCUUAAGUGGGUGUUCAAGCUGAAGAGGGAUGGAGCCGGCGCCAUCAUCAAGCACAAGGCUCGCCUGGUGGCCCGAGGCUUCUUGCAGCAGGAAGGAGUCGACUUCGACGACGCCUUCGCUCCCGUGGCACGGAUGGAGUCCGUGCGACUUCUCCUUGCGCUGGCUGCCCAGGAGGGCUGGCGUGUCCAUCACAUGGAUGUCAAGUCGGCAUUCCUCAAUGGUGACUUGAAGGAGGAAGUCUACGUGCAUCAGCCACCGGGUUUUGCGAUUCCCGGCCAGGAGGGCAAGGUACUCCGCCUGCGCAAGGCCCUCUAUGGCCUACAGCAGGCACCUAGGGCGUGGAACGCCAAGCUGGACUCCACGCUAAAGAAGAUGGGCUUCGAGCAAAGCCCGCAUGAGGCCGCUGUCUACCGACGGGGCAGUGGAGGAAAUGCCCUGCUGGUGGGCGUCUAUGUUGACGACUUGGUGAUCACCGGCACCAAAGAUGCAGAGGUAGCGGCAUUCAAGGAAGACAUGAAGGCCACCUUCCAGAUGAGUGAUCUGGGGCUCCUCUCCUUCUAUCUAGGGAUUGAGGUGCACCAGGAUCACUCCGGGAUCACGCUUCGACAGUCCGCCUACGCCAAGUGCAUCGUUGAGCUAGCUGGGCUCACCGGCUGCCAUCCAGCUCUCACUCCGAUGGAGGAGAGGCUGAAACUGAGCCGCGACAGCACGACGGAGGAAGUGGAUGCUACGUAG